RNAcentral lists this ribosomal RNA (292 nucleotides) under uncultured bacterium. Its description in RNAcentral is "partial 16S ribosomal RNA". It matches the Rfam family "Bacterial small subunit ribosomal RNA", at positions 505 to 796 of the family's 1533-position model. The record is from RNAcentral.
GUGCCAGCCGCCGCGGUAAUACGUAGGCAGCAAGCGUUGUUCGGAGUUACUGGGCGUAAAGAGUGCGUAGGCGGUGCCCUAAGUCUGUUGUGAAAUCUCCCGGCUUAACUGGGAGGGUGCGGUGGAAACUGGGGUGCUUGAGUGUGGGAGAGGUAAGCGGAAUUCCUGGUGUAGCGGUGAAAUGCGUAGAUAUCAGGAGGAACACCGGUGGUGUAGACGGCUUACUGGACCACGACUGACGCUGAGGCACGAAAGCGUGGGUAGCAAACAGGAUUAGAAACCCCCGUAGUCC